AAUCUUCCGCACUGGACGAAAGUCUGCAGGAGCAACGCCGCGUGAGUGAUGUAGGUUGUCGGAUCGUAAAACUCUGUUGUUAGGGAAGAACAAGUAUCGGAGUCACUGCCGCUACCUCGACGGUACCUGCCGUGAAAUCCACGGCUACCUCCGUGCCAGCAGCCGCGGUAAUACGUAGGUGGCAAGCGUUAUCCGGAAUUAUUGGGCGUAACGCGCGCGCAGGCGGUUUCUUAAGUCUGAUGUGAAAGCCCACGGCUCAACCGUGGAGGGUCAUUGGAAACUGGGAAGCUUGAGUGCAGAAGAGGAGAGUGGAAUUCCAUGUGUAGCGGUGAAAUGCGUAGAGAUAUGGAGGAACACCAGUGGCGAAGGCGACUCUCUGGUCUGCAACUGACGCUGAGGCGCGAAAGCGUGGGGAGCGAACA
Molecule: ribosomal RNA, 422 nt
Filed under: uncultured bacterium
Lineage: Bacteria
Description: partial 16S ribosomal RNA
Rfam family: Bacterial small subunit ribosomal RNA
Source: RNAcentral